This 827-nucleotide long non-coding RNA is filed under the name Canis lupus familiaris (dog). RNAcentral describes it as "lncRNA (ENSCAFG00000053244.1)". Lineage: Eukaryota; Metazoa; Chordata; Mammalia; Carnivora; Canidae. The record is from RNAcentral.
CUAUGAUUCAUAUCCCCAGAUAUUCUCUGGCAUUCUCACUAUAUAGUUUCCUUUUUUUUUUUUUUUUUUUUGUACUGUAUUGCUUUUUUUUUUUUUUUUCCCCCAGAAAGAGAAAAUCUUACUGGAGAAAACCAUGCCAAGCCUGAGAACAUUGAGUACCCAAGGCCAAGCUCAACAAGGGCAGAGAACUUUCCGGCAAGAAAUUAUCCCAUCUGUAACAAGGCCAGUCUCAUGGUCUACAGCUCACAAUUGGCAAGAAGAUAGAUUAAAUGGACAUUCAAGGACCUGCACAUUUGGUCCCAGCAUCCUCCCAGUUCACCCCGUAGGCCACCCACAUGGACUCAUUGUCCUCAUUUUUGUGUUACAACUUUCGCACAUGCUACUUCCUUUGCCUGGAAAGACUUCUUUCUGAUUCUACUUGCCUGGAAAAGCCCAACCAUCCUUUAAGAAUCAGCUCAAAGGUCACCUCCUCUAUGAAGGCUCUCCUGUAUACUCAGUCAUUCACCCACACAUGCUUAUUGAGUACUGUUGUGCUCUUCAGCCAAGACUACCAUGAACCUGCCAGCAAUGAAACAAGGAGGCUCAGAAACUUCGUAUCUACCAGUGUGGCUGGUAUAGACUUUGGCUGCCAUUCACAGGAUUAUCAAGAAGAUCGAGAUCCCAAAAAGCUAAGGAGCUACUGUCCUGGAAGGGAAGAAAACCCACUCCUGGCUUCAAAAGACAGCCAUUGGCUCUAUAACCCUGGCCAGAGUCCAGACAGGAUUGGGGAGAGGAGGUGGGAAACCUAUCCCCUGAUGGCACAGCAGAGACAGAGGCAUAUUGUGUGA